AUUGAACGCUGGCGGAAUGCUUUACACAUGCAAGUCGAGCGGCAGCGCGGGGCAACCUGGCGGCGAGCGGCGAACGGGUGAGUAAUACAUCGGAACGUACCCAGUUGUGGGGGAUAGCCCGGCGAAAGCCGGAUUAAUACCGCAUACGACCUGAGGGUGAAAGGGGGGGAUCGCAAGACCUCUCGCAGUUGGAGCGGCCGAUGGCGGAUUAGCUAGUUGGUGAGGUAAAGGCUCACCAAGGCGACGAUCCGUAGCUGGUCUGAGAGGACGACCAGCCACACUGGAACUGAGACACGGUCCAGACUCCUACGGGAGGCAGCAGUGGGGAAUUUUGGACAAUGGGGGGCAACCCUGAUCCAGCCAUUCCGCGUGAGUGAAGAAGGCCUUCGGUUGUAAAGUACUCUUUCGGUCAGGAACGAAACGGUAGGGUCCGUAAUACGAUCUGCUAAUGACGGUACCUGAAGAAGAAGACACCGGCUAACUACGUGCCAGCAGCCGCGGUAAU
RNAcentral lists this ribosomal RNA (505 nucleotides) under uncultured bacterium. Its description in RNAcentral is "bacterial SSU rRNA". It matches the Rfam family "Bacterial small subunit ribosomal RNA", at positions 29 to 524 of the family's 1533-position model. The record is from RNAcentral.